UACGUAGGUGGCAAGCGUUGUCCGGAAUCAUUGGGCGUAAAGCGCGUGUAGGCGGCCCGGUAAGUCCGCUGUGAAAGUCCAGGGCUCAACCCUGGGAUGCCGGUGGAUACUGUCGGGCUCGAGUCCGGAAGAGGAGUGUGGAAUUCCUGGUGUAGCGGUGAAAUGCGCAGAUAUCAGGAGGAACACCAAUGGCGAAGGCAGCACUCUGGGACGUGACUGACGCUGAGACGCGAAAGCGUGGGGAGCAAACAGG
RNAcentral lists this ribosomal RNA (253 nucleotides) under Paraconexibacter sp. Its description in RNAcentral is "partial 16S ribosomal RNA". It matches the Rfam family "Bacterial small subunit ribosomal RNA", at positions 524 to 776 of the family's 1533-position model. Lineage: Bacteria; Bacillati; Actinomycetota; Thermoleophilia; Solirubrobacterales; Paraconexibacteraceae. The record is from RNAcentral. RNAcentral also lists the same sequence under 1 other name.